This 73-nucleotide transfer RNA is filed under the name Camelus bactrianus (Bactrian camel). It matches the Rfam family "tRNA". From Rfam's summary of the family: Transfer RNA (tRNA) molecules are approximately 80 nucleotides in length. The record is from Rfam by way of RNAcentral. RNAcentral also lists the same sequence under 2 other names. Lineage: Eukaryota; Metazoa; Chordata; Mammalia; Artiodactyla; Camelidae.
GAGGGUAUAGCUCAAGUGGUAGAGCACAUGCUUAGCGUGCAUGAGGUUCUGGGUUCAAUCCUCAGUACCUCCU